AAGGGCUGGAGAAUCAGCAUCAGAAGACAGACCGCAGCCCGGUGACAGGAAAGACUUGCCAACCCCACGCCACUCACAGCGCCGUCCGGCUGAUCACUGCUGAGGGCUCCACAGCCUACUUCCCCAUGCGGGAGACCUGCAGCCUGUGGCCGCAAGUGACAUCCACCCUUCAUCUGGGGCCUCACGGAAGGGAUCUCAUUGAAGAUGGCUACAUUAGCUUGGGGCCGGGACCAGCACCUCCAGGAGUCCUGAAUCAUGCCCUGGCCUGGAGGGAUGGUGUCCAGAGACUAGAGAAAGACUCAGUGGAUGGGGAGCCGACCACAGCAGCGGCCAAGAGAACUGGAGGGUGCGGCACCAGCGUUCACGGCCCCAGGUCUACAGAUUCCGGAGUUUCACUCUCUCCUCGUCCCUCAGGGUCCCUGAGGCACCUCGGAGACACUGCCGGUCAGGCCUGGGCUCCGCUCUGCUUUCUGUGGGAGUUCACGAGGAGGAAGAGGGCGUCCCCCGGCACUGGAGCCAGCAUUAGCUGGGUCAUUUGCAACCCCUUCCCAGGAAGACCGAACAGGGAGACCCUCAGGUCACCCCAGCUUCUCCUCCUCUGCUGCGAAGAGGAUCAGGGAGCUGUAGCUUCCCAUCCCUUACCUCAUCGUUCUGUUUGGCGGAUGAGAAGUACUCGAUCCUCUGAAGGGCUUUUACCUCCCAGCCGCUGCGGAACGCUGCGCCUCUGUCAGCCUAGACCUAUUUAUUACCGAGGUUGGCUUCAUCGUUUGAAAUAGAAGUGUUCAUGAAACUUAAACCAUUAAAGUGGUGUUAACGGGCUCUGUGGAAAGAGGGCUCACCUCCUACUUCCUUUUGCUGGAGGCGGAAAGCCGCCUCAAGGAGAUUACCUUCCCAGAGAAGGAAAGCCUCCCCUGGACGGAGCCCGCGUCAAGCCAACUGUGUGGUGCCCGCCUGCAACCUCUGCACUGAGGAGGCUGAGCAGGAGGAUCGUGGGGAGUUCAAGGCCAGCCUGGGCUAAGCGAGACUGUCUCAAAAGAACCAAAGGAAAAAAAGUAGUCAGUUUGCCUGUGAAACUCAAUUCAAAUAAGCUGACAGAGACUGAAACGCUGAUGACAGUUUCGCAGGCAGCUGAAGACCCACAGAACUGCGGAGUUCAGAGUGUGGGGGACACGGAGGCUCCGCUGGGAACGCCUGCGCUCCCCAUGUCCGGCCAGGUGUCCGCCUCCGGCCGGGCGCCACACCUGCCACCUGCUCCGCUGCUCCCCUGGGCCUCCCGCCAGAUGCAGUCAGAGGGAGUGACGGCGGGAGAAGCAGAGGGCUGCUUUCGGCGCGGGCCCUGGCUGCACCUCGAGUGCGAGGAAAGGCAGAAUUUGCACACCACACGUGUCACUCAGGCGGCACGGACAGUGCGGUGUUGCCGAGUACAUUUGCAUCACUGCUCAUCUGCUUGGGGGAUUUUAGAGCCCUGCCGUUGCCCAGAAUGAAACCCCAAGUUGGUCAUGGCUGCCCCAGCCCUGUCCCCAGCCCGUGGUGAUCGCUCACCUCCUUCCUGUCUCUGUGGAGCUGAGAAAGGGGUUUUGUAGCCAGAUGCCUGCAUGCUGGUUUUAAAAUAUGGGUUUUUCUGCUGGGUGUAGUGGUGCACGCCUGUAAUCCAGCGCUCAGAAGGCUGAGGCAGGAGGAUCACUACGAGUUCAAGGCCAGUUUGUGCUACAUAGUAAGACACUGUCUCAAAAAAAAUUUUUUUAAGAACCAUCCCAGUAAGCCAGAUGUUUUUGGAGGCCUUGUUGCCCACACAGGAGUCCCAGGCCAGCAGAGCGGCCACUCACACCCCUCCCGAGGAGGUCUUCCAAGUGCAAGGCUCCACCUGGAACUUGUGCGCCUGCUGCGCUGGCUCUCUGCCUCUCUCCUGCCCUGGCAGGCUGGGCUUGUGAUUUCUGCUUUUCUUCCCGAGCUGCCAGGUGAGUCCAGGAAUCUGUUCCCACGUACCCGAGGGUGCCCCACACUGGGAAACUGGCUCCCCGUCCGCUCCCUGAACAGGUACGGGACCGUGCGCUGGCAGUGCCUUCCGAGAAGUUUGCUCAGCGAUAGUUAAUUACACAGGCACUUGGAAGAACAUCAAGUCAUUUUGGAGUGCUUUUAUCUACUGUCCAGAAGUAAAAGACAAUUAAAACGGUAUUUAGGUCUCAACCUGGAGGCAGUUUUGAAGCAUUCUGUACUCUGCACAAAUCCUCCUCCUCCCUGUCCUCCUCCCUUCCUUUUCUUUGCCGUGCUGGGCUUGGAACCCAUAGGCGCAUCUGGGCCAGGCAGGUGCUCUGUGACUGAGCUGCACCUCCAGCCCUGGCCUCUUGGCAUUUUCUACUUUUACGCUGUAAUAGUCCACCCAAUUUGAGACUCCCCGGCGGGUUUCAUUGCUAUGACCUGGUCUGGGAUACACUGAAGCACACGGUUGUGAGGCUGAGGUUGUUUCCAGUGUGUUACUGUCGACGAUGCCACGGCCCUGAGCUGAACAGCGUCCGGGUCAUCCACCGUCUCGUCAGCAGGAGCCUGGAAGAGCGGCCACUGGAGAAGCAGGCUGCACAGAACCUUGGCACACGCUCAGGGCGGGGACAGCUGGCCCUGGGGAGCCUGUCUCCAGGGCGCCCCAUGCACAGGAGGAGGUCCCUUCCUGCCUGCAGAUCUGAGCAGUGUGCUCAGAUCAGCUAUACAGGGUUGACUGUCCUGGCCCUCAAGGGCAGCGUGGUUGUUAGGGUGUGGAUAGCAAAUGUCCCCAAGGCCGUGUGGCAGGGCUUGGUCUUGGGCUUGUGGUGGCGGAGGUGGUGGAAAUUGUAGGAGGAGGAGCCUGGUGACAGGAAGUCAGGUCAUUGGGGGUGGUGGCCUUGGGGGACACGGAGCAGGGCAUGCUCUCUCUCUUGCUCUCUUCCUCUCUCGCUCUCUUGCUCUCUUUCACAUGCCUGCCUGCUGUCUCUCUUUUACCAUCCCUCUUACUCUUUUUUUUUUUUGGUAUGGGAAAUCGAACUCUGGACCUUGCAAUUGCCAGGAAGGCACUUAUGCACUGAGCUACAUCCCUGGUCCUUUUUUGUCUUUUUGAGACAGGGUCUCGAAAUGUAGUUCAGGCUGGCCUUGAGCUCACUUUGUAGCCCAGGCUGGUCUCGAUCUCGCAAUGAUCCUCCUGCCUCAGCCUCCUGAGUGCUGGGAUUACAGGCGUGCUCCACCAUGCUCAGCUCCAUCCCUCUUACUCACAUCCCACUGCCACGAGGUAGGGCACUUCCACUGCCAGGCAUUCCCCACCAUGUUAUUCUUCACCACAGGCUCACAGAGCACAGCACCAAGUCAUCACGGGCAGAAGCUAGGACAUCUUGAGCCAAGAUAAAACUUUCUCUCUCUUUUUUUUUUUUUUUGUCUUUUUGAGACAGGGUCUUGCUAUGGAGUUCAGACUGGCCUUGAGCUCACUUUGUAGGCCAGGCUGGUCUCAAAC
This 3475-nucleotide long non-coding RNA is filed under the name Chinchilla lanigera (long-tailed chinchilla). Its description in RNAcentral is "lncRNA (ENSCLAG00000026693.1)". The record is from RNAcentral. Lineage: Eukaryota; Metazoa; Chordata; Mammalia; Rodentia; Chinchillidae.